This 945-nucleotide ribosomal RNA is filed under the name Triticum aestivum (bread wheat). RNAcentral's name for it is "partial small subunit ribosomal RNA". Lineage: Eukaryota; Viridiplantae; Streptophyta; Magnoliopsida; Poales; Poaceae. The record is from RNAcentral.
AUGCUAUUGUUCAUCCUGAAUGGCAGUUUGCGAUGGCAGAGGAGAUUGCUGCCCUUGAGCGCAAUGGCACAUGGGACCUGGUUUCUCUUCCUCCCUAUGUUCGUCCAAUCACUUGUAAGUGGGCCUAUAAGAUUAAGACUCGCUCUGAUGGUUCUCUUGAGCGUUAUAAAGCUCGUCUUGUGGCUCGUGGCUUUCAGCAGGAGCAUGGUCGUGAUUAUGAUGAGUGCUCCUAUGGCCCAUAUGACCACUGUCCGCACACUUCUUGUCGUGGCCUCUGUUCGCCACUGGUCUGUGUCUCAACUUGAUGUUAAGAAUGCCUUUCUUAAUGGUGAGUUGCGUGAGGAAGUUUAUAUGCAGCCACCACCUCGGUAUUCAGUUCCUGACGGCAUGGCUUGUCGUCUUCGUCGCUCUCUAUAUGGCCUUAAGCAAGUCCCCCGUGCUUGGUUUGAGCGUUUUGCCUCUAUGGUAACUGCAGCUCAUGAUUCGGCGUUGUUUGUCCACCUUUCUACUCGUGGUCGCACUCGUCUUCUUCUAUAUGUUGAUGACAUGAUCAUCACUGGUGAUGAUUCUGAGUACAUUGCCUUUGUCAAGGCCCGUCUCAAUGAGCAGUUUCUUAUGUCUAAUCUUGGUCCUCUUCGUUACUUUCUUGGGAUUGAGGUUUCCUCCACCUCUGAUGGCUUUUCUAUUUCCCAAGAAAAGUAUAUCCAGGAUCUUCUUGCUCGUGCGGCUCUUAGUGAUGAGCGCACUAUCGAGACUCCUAUGGAGCUCAAUGUUAACCUUCGCGCUUCUGAUGGCGAGCUCUUGUCUGAUCCGACGCGUUAUCGUCAUCUUGUUGGGAGUCUUGUCUAUCUUGCUGUCACUUUUAUGUCCUAUCUACGUCUCCUUUGCCCUGGUUUUUUGCUUCUUGUUCUUCGUGUUCAAUGUCAGCGAACCUCAACGCUCUAG